CCAUGACAAAGUUCCUCUGACCAAAGUACCAGAGGUUAACAUUGCUGACACUCUAGCACCUCAUCAGAAAAAUGAGGUCCGAGAGUUUGUUGCUAGAAAUCGGUAUGUGUUUGCUCCAGUACCAGGAAAGACUCCUGUUAUUAAACAUGACAUAAUUACGGAACCUGGAAAAAGGGUUAACUUAAAACCCUACCGAAUCCCAGAGGCCAGAAAAGAAGCCAUUAAAGCAGAGGUCCGAAAGAUGCUUGAGCUAGGGGUUAUCGCGGAAUCACAAAGUGAAUGGAGUAAUCUUAU
Pelobates cultripes (western spadefoot toad) is the source of this 294-nucleotide non-coding RNA. The record is from the annotation of a GenBank genome assembly. NCBI's taxonomy places the organism in Eukaryota, Metazoa, Chordata, Amphibia, Anura, Pelobatidae.